CUAGCUGUUGCUAGUGGAAGCAAUGUGAAGCCGUGCCUUUCAAGCAUUGAAUUGCAGAGGAUUGAGCUGGUAGUUUAAAGGAAAGCAACUCCUUAGAUGCCUGGAUCCUCUAUUCCUGGUGGAUCUCCACAAGAUCUGACCCAUGAAUCUGGAUUUUCAUCCAAGAGUGCUGGACGCUGAGUUUAAGAAUAAAGUCUGAAUGACAAUAUGGUCUGCUGAGGUC
RNAcentral lists this long non-coding RNA (223 nucleotides) under Mus spicilegus (steppe mouse). RNAcentral describes it as "lncRNA (ENSMSIG00000000811.1)". Lineage: Eukaryota; Metazoa; Chordata; Mammalia; Rodentia; Muridae. The record is from RNAcentral.